RNAcentral lists this ribosomal RNA (156 nucleotides) under Solanum tuberosum (potato). Its description in RNAcentral is "rRNA 5_8S_rRNA". It matches the Rfam family "5.8S ribosomal RNA". From Rfam's summary of the family: 5.8S ribosomal RNA (5.8S rRNA) is a component of the large subunit of the eukaryotic ribosome. It is transcribed by RNA polymerase I as part of the 45S precursor that also contains 18S and 28S rRNA. The record is from Rfam by way of RNAcentral. Lineage: Eukaryota; Viridiplantae; Streptophyta; Magnoliopsida; Solanales; Solanaceae.
AACUCUCGGCAAUGGAUAUCUCAGCUCUCGCAUCGAUGAAGAAGGUAGCGAAAUGCGAUACUUGGUGUGAAUUGCAGAAUCCCGUGAACCAUCGAUUCUUUAAAUACAAGUUGUGCCCGAAGCCAUUAGGCCGAGGGCACGUCUGCCUGGGCGUCA